UCCCACCCGUGUUUAUUUUACCUUGUUGCUUCGGCGGGCCCGCCUUAACUGGCCGCCGGGGGGCUUACGCCCCCGGGCCCGCGCCCGCCGAAGACACCCUCGAACUCUGUCUGAAGAUUGUAGUCUGAGUGAAAAUAUAAAUUAUUUAAAACUUUCAACAACGGAUCUCUUGGUUCCGGCAUCGAUGAAGAACGCAGCGAAAUGCGAUACGUAAUGUGAAUUGCAAAUUCAGUGAAUCAUCGAGUCUUUGAACGCACAUUGCGCCCCCUGGUAUUCCGGGGGGCAUGCCUGUCCGAGCGUCAUUUCUGCCCUCAAGCACGGCUUGUGUGUUGGGCCCCGUCCUCCGAUCCCGGGGGACGGGCCCGAAAGGCAGCGGCGGCACCGCGUCCGGUCCUCGAGCGUAUGGGGCUUUGUCACCCGCUCUGUAGGCCCGGCCGGCGCUUGCCGAUCAACCCAAAUUUUUAUCCAGGUUGACCUCGGAUCAGGUAGGGAUACCCGCUGAACUUAAGCAUAUCA
Molecule: ribosomal RNA, 516 nt
Filed under: Penicillium sp. DY115-21-1-M2
Lineage: Eukaryota; Fungi; Ascomycota; Eurotiomycetes; Eurotiales; Aspergillaceae
Description: eukaryotic LSU rRNA
Rfam family: 5.8S ribosomal RNA (bases 150-302)
Source: RNAcentral